AGCUCCAAUAGCGUAUAUUAAAUUUGUUGCAGUUAAAAAGCUCGUAGUUGUAUACCUACAUAGUGCUUCGAUAUAGUUACGAACUAAACGAUGUACUGGUAUUUGAGCACGGGGUCGUCUUACGAUUAAUUGUCAUAUGAUGCUCAACGUGUAUUUUACUUUGAGGAAAUUAGAGUGUUCCAAGCAAACAUGGUUGUGAAUAUAAUAGCAUGGGAUAAUAUUUUUGGCCUGAACUUCUUUUUUAAAGAAGUUCAUGGUAAUUUCGAAAGGGAUAUCUGGGGGCAUUCGUAUUAAGCUGUCAGAGGUGAAAUUCUUAGAUUUUCUUAAGACGAACAAAUGCGAAAGCAUCUGCCAAAGAUGUUUUCA
Molecule: ribosomal RNA, 366 nt
Filed under: uncultured eukaryote
Lineage: Eukaryota
Description: SSU rRNA
Rfam family: Eukaryotic small subunit ribosomal RNA
Source: RNAcentral